CAGUACCGCGGUAAUACGAAGGGGGCUAGCGUUGUUCGGAAUCACUGGGCGUAAAGGGUGCGUAGGCGGGAUCUUAAGUCAGGGGUGAAAUCCCGAGGCUCAACCUCGGAACUGCCUUUGAUACUGGGGUCCUUGAGUCCGGAAGAGGUGAGUGGAACUGCGAGUGUAGAGGUGAAAUUCGUAGAUAUUCGCAAGAACACCGGUGGCGAAGGCGGCUCACUGGUCCGGAACUGACGCUGAGGCACGACAGCGUGGGGAGCAAACAGGAUUAGAUACCCGCGUAGUCCCUGUCUCUUAUACA
Molecule: ribosomal RNA, 301 nt
Filed under: uncultured bacterium
Lineage: Bacteria
Description: partial 16S ribosomal RNA
Rfam family: Bacterial small subunit ribosomal RNA
Source: RNAcentral